CUGUUGUACUCAAAAAGGCAAAUGUUUAAUAACAUGAAAUGAGGGUAAACUGUUUAUGUUCUGGUCGCGCUCUUGAGUUCAAAAAAGACCAUUGGACGGGUAGGUCGUGCGUCGGUUGCGUAGUAAAAUCUCGGGAAAGCCGUUGAUGAUUCGUCGUUGCGUCGCGCGUGUUUCUGUGUUUGUGCGUGUUUUUGGAUUAACAAAUUAACAAGAUCUAAAAAAUCCAAUAACAUGAAUAUGCGGCGGCUAUUUUAGCGAUUCGUGGCUGGCGAUUAAACCAAUAAAUAAUACACAAAAUCGCAACAGCCGAACGUGUGUGUGAGUGCCAAUUGCAAGACAAAAUGGCUGCAUUUCAACGCAUUUAAUGCGCGCACAAAAACAACAACAUAAGAGAACAACAUACACAAAGCAUAAGCAAACAUCUCUGCUACAAUAACCGCAAAAACAUCUCCAACAACAAUAACAGCAACAACUUUGUUAAAAAUUUUAAAACUGUAAAUUUCGUUUCGAACGCGUUGCGGUGAUUUUUUUCUUCUCGGUUUUUCGUUUUCUUUUCCAUUGAUUUUUACGGGAAAAAAUUAAAAAAGAGGAGGAAUAUAUAAUAAUAGUAGCGAAAAAGUGAAAAGUGAUGUAUAAAAAUCAUAAAUCAUUAUAUAUAAAAUUGUUACAGUGUACGUGACGGGUGUUCAAAUAAGAUCGCAUUAAAUAAAGAAUCAUAAAACCCAAAAAAAAAAGGAGAAAAAAAAAGUAAUAAUAAUAGUAAACAAAAGUUCGUGAGUGCUAAAAGUGGUGUAAAAUUUGAUGGUGCUCUUAUAUGUGUGCGUGUGUGGAUAUGUGUGAAAAUAGUAAAUUUUAAAUGGAAAUCAAGUUAAAGUGGAAAUUUGUUGCAGUUAGGUGAGAUUCGAU
Long non-coding RNA from Drosophila navojoa, 906 nucleotides. The record is from RefSeq and is a predicted model, not a curated record. NCBI's taxonomy places the organism in Eukaryota, Metazoa, Arthropoda, Insecta, Diptera, Drosophilidae.